This 254-nucleotide ribosomal RNA is filed under the name uncultured bacterium. Its description in RNAcentral is "partial 16S ribosomal RNA". It matches the Rfam family "Bacterial small subunit ribosomal RNA", at positions 524 to 776 of the family's 1533-position model. The record is from RNAcentral.
UACGGGGGGGGCAAGCGUUGUUCGGAAUUACUGGGCGUAAAGGGCUCGCAGGCGGCCAACUAAGUCGGAUGUGAAAUCCCCAGGCUUAACCUGGGAACUGCAUCCGAUACUGGAUGGCUUGAAUCCGGGAGAGGGAUGCAGAAUUCCAGGUGUAGCGGUGAAAUGCGUAGAUAUCUGGAGGAAUACCGGUGGCGAAGGCGGCAUCCUGGACCGGCAUUGACGCUGAGUGAGCGAAAGCCAGGGGAGCAAACGGG